CUUGGCAGGGGUGUGUGGCGGAGAAGAAGGGGGGAAAAGGCAUCUGCUGUUGUUUUUGAGGAGCUUCUCUCCCCCAUCUUUUUCAGCCGCUGCUGCUCGUUUUCUGUGUUGUUUC
Caenorhabditis elegans is the source of this 115-nucleotide non-coding RNA. The record is from Ensembl. NCBI's taxonomy places the organism in Eukaryota, Metazoa, Nematoda, Chromadorea, Rhabditida, Rhabditidae.